UAAUAUAUUUAUUUUUCAAAUAAAUUCAAGAAAAUGUCCAUCUCUGAAACCUCAUCUUCAUCACCCGAUCAUCAUCAACAAAUACUCGCUUCACUCUCUCCGACAAGAAAAAUUCAAUUCGUGUCGAAAUCCGUGUCGGAGAGGCUCCUGUCGAAAUUCUACGAUGUGUCGGAGUUCGACUUCGAUUACACGCAGAGCGGGAUUUGGUCACCACCGAUUCAACGAAGCGCGUUUCUAAACUCGCCCGGAGAGAUUUCGGAUAAACACGACAUGGCCGAGAAGCUCAGAACCGCUCUUGCAAGACAUACACGAAGAAAACGCCGUCGCCUUUCAUUUAAUGCGUGCUUGUGUUCUCCGAAGCGAUUCUGAAAAUAGAACCCGAAAAUUCAACGACUUAACUGUAUUUAAUUAAUUUGUACCAUGACUCUUUAUUAAUUUCAAUGUAUAAAUUUAAUUUAUAUACAUAGAAGAGAUGUAUGUAUUGUUUAUGGGUGUGAACAAUUUUUUGUUGUU
This is a non-coding RNA of Erythranthe guttata (spotted monkey flower), 513 nucleotides long. The record is from RefSeq and is a predicted model, not a curated record. Lineage: Eukaryota; Viridiplantae; Streptophyta; Magnoliopsida; Lamiales; Phrymaceae.